Molecule: long non-coding RNA, 1013 nt
Organism: Camponotus floridanus (Florida carpenter ant)
Lineage: Eukaryota; Metazoa; Arthropoda; Insecta; Hymenoptera; Formicidae
Exons: 3
Source: RefSeq, a predicted model, not a curated record
UAUACGGGCGGCCCUCGUUUAUUUUCUAUACCGUUAAUGAACGUUUAAAAAAUUUUUUUUCUUUUUUUGACGAUGGGAGAGUAGACGGUGGGACGUUGGUCAGUUCUGAUGAGAGCAAUACUGCGACAGUCAAUACAGACGACAAUACCAGUACAAAUAGAAUUACAUAUUUUAAUAUACCAUACAUAAAAGACAUCUCAGAAAAGUUCAGCAUUUGCGUCAAAGAUCUAGAUAUACGGAUAUCGUAUACGGGAAUAAAUAAUUUGCGUACGUUUAUAACUGUAGGAAAAGACAAGCUCCAAAAAAAUGCGAAAAGCAAUUUGGUAUACAAAAUUAAUUAUAACGAUUGCGAUGCUUCCUAUAAGACAAACGAGUCGUAUGCUAAAUACUCGCAAGGAACACAAAAAGAAUCGCACUCCGUCUUAGCGAACCAUAAAUUAUUAAACCAUGAUUUCGAGUGAGAUGAUGUUGAAAUCUUGGAUGAGGCACCUUUUUUGAGGAAGAGAUUGAUAUCCGAGAUGAUACACAUUAAGCUUCAUAGAAAUGCUUUAAAUCUCCAGAGCGAUACGCUUAAGUUGAGUGAUGCCUGUUUGCCGAUUAUCGAUAGUUUUUUCGAAAAUUAGACUCAUUCGUUGUUAUUGGGUUCGUGAUGUUUUGUCAACAAUAUAUAUAGGUGUACGUGGGUAUUCGUUUGACAUUCUCGUGCCGUUAAUUGUCGGUUAAGAGUUGUUGGACAUAGCGAGAUGUCCAUCUCUGUCGCGUUUAUUGUGUUCGAUGCAUCUUUCCUUGCGUCUUGUACCGUUAGGAGAUUCAUAAAUCGGACGUGCGGUUGAGAUGAUUACGUAAUGUCGAACUGUUUGACUCUAUUUCACUGAAGAAGACUCGAAAGGAGUCCGAAACGUAUGAUUGAUCAUCAAUAAAGUGUGGAUUAUGGAAGUAGUUUUUUAUUGCUUCACGCCUUACAUCCGCGUUGGCUCGAUAUUGCCUAAUUAUUUAGUUAAAUAUAUUAUUUA